Molecule: long non-coding RNA, 473 nt
Filed under: Mus musculus (house mouse)
Lineage: Eukaryota; Metazoa; Chordata; Mammalia; Rodentia; Muridae
Description: predicted gene, 47013
Source: RNAcentral
CUCCUGGCCGAAGAUGAAGGCCCAAAACAGGAUGUUUCCGAGAAGCUGUGUUUCUUUGGCCUUCACAAGAGAUGUUGUUUCAGUAGUCCACACUCUCACCUGUGUAGACUACUUUCCGUGGAGUCCCGGAACCAAGGUGGCUUCAGCGGAGCCUGAGGCAGAAGCCUCUUGGCCCGGGCGGACACCUGUGCUCUGACCAGGAAGGUGGCCGGUUUUCUGGAGCCGAAAAUCGUGCCGCCUCAGAGGCUCUGUGGCUCUCGCCUGUCCCAGAGACUGCUGGCCUCUGUAUUCCAUACUCUCACCUGUCAGACUGCCCUCCGUGGAUUCCUGGAACCAAGCUGACUCCCGUGGAACCUGAGGCAGAAGCCUCUCGGCCCGGGCAGACACCUGUGCUCUGACCAGGAAGGUGGCCGGUUGUCUCCAAUUAAGUUUUGUGAGCAAAUGAACAGAUGAAGGUCUCUUUGGAAGUAGCA